Molecule: non-coding RNA, 83 nt
Organism: Araneus ventricosus
Lineage: Eukaryota; Metazoa; Arthropoda; Arachnida; Araneae; Araneidae
Source: the annotation of a GenBank genome assembly
GCAGUCGUGGCCGAGUGGUUAAGGUGAUGGACUUGAAAUCCAUUUUGGUUUUUCCAGCGUAAGUUCGAAUCCUACCGGCUGCG